GACGUAGGGUGCGAGCGUUAAUCGGAUUUACUGGGCGUAAAGCGUGCGCAGGCGGCCCGUUAAGACAGGUGUGAAAUCCCUGGGCUCAACCUAGGAAUUGCGCUUGUGACUGGCGGGCUCGAGUACGGUAGAGGGGGGUGGAAUUCCUGGUGUAGCAGUGAAAUGCGUAGAGAUCAGGAUGAACACCGAUGGCGAAGGCAGCCCCCUGGGCCUGUACUGACGCUCAUGCACGAAAGCGUGGGGAGCAAACAGG
This 253-nucleotide ribosomal RNA is filed under the name uncultured microorganism. RNAcentral's name for it is "partial 16S ribosomal RNA". It matches the Rfam family "Bacterial small subunit ribosomal RNA", at positions 524 to 776 of the family's 1533-position model. The record is from RNAcentral.